Molecule: ribosomal RNA, 492 nt
Filed under: uncultured bacterium
Lineage: Bacteria
Description: partial 16S ribosomal RNA
Rfam family: Bacterial small subunit ribosomal RNA
Source: RNAcentral
AGUGAACGCUGGCGGUAGGCCUAACACAUGCAAGUCGAACGGCAGCACAGUAAGAGCUUGCUCUUACGUGUGUCGAGUGGCGGACGGGUGAGGAAUACAUCGGAAUCUACUUUUUCGUGGGGGAUAACGUAGGGAAACUUACGCUAAUACCGCAUACGACCUACGUGUGAAAGCAGGGGAUCUUCGGACCUUGCGCGAUUGAAUGAGCCGAUGUCGGAUUAGCUAGUUGGCGGGGUAAAGGCCCACCAAGGCGACGAUCCGUAGCUGGUCUGAGGGGAUGGUCAACGACACUGGAAGUGAGGAACGGUCCAGACGCCUACGGGGGGCAGCAGUGGGGAAUAUUAGACAAUGGGGGCAAGACUGAUCCAGCCAUAACGCGUGGGUGAAGAAGGCCUUCGGGUUGUAGAGCACUUUUGUUGGGAGAGAAAAGCAGCAGGUUAAUACGCCGCUGUUCUGACGGUACCCGGAGAAUAAGCACCGGCUAACUUCGUG